RNAcentral lists this transfer RNA (69 nucleotides) under Bryopa lata. Its description in RNAcentral is "tRNA-Asp". Lineage: Eukaryota; Metazoa; Mollusca; Bivalvia; Clavagellidae. The record is from RNAcentral.
GGCGAUGUAGUUAAUUUAUAACGAGGGUUUGUCGCACCUUAGUAGCUGCCUUUGCCGCAGUCAUCACCU